Molecule: ribosomal RNA, 253 nt
Filed under: uncultured bacterium
Lineage: Bacteria
Description: partial 16S ribosomal RNA
Rfam family: Bacterial small subunit ribosomal RNA
Source: RNAcentral
UACAGAGGGUGCGAGCGUUAAUCGGAAUUACUGGGCGUAAAGCGUGCGUAGGCGGUUAUUUAAGUCGGGUGUGAAAGCCCCGGGCUCAACCUGGGAAUUGCAUUCGAGACUGAAUAGCUAGGGUACGGUAGAGGGAAGUGGAAUUUCCGGUGUAGCGGUGAAAUGCGUAGAUAUCGGAAGGAACAUCAGUGGCGAAAGCGACUUCCUGGACCAGUACCGACGUUCAGGCACGAAAGCGUGGGGAGCAAACAGG